RNAcentral lists this ribosomal RNA (703 nucleotides) under Pythium insidiosum. RNAcentral describes it as "eukaryotic LSU rRNA". It matches the Rfam family "Eukaryotic large subunit ribosomal RNA", at positions 87 to 634 of the family's 3401-position model. Lineage: Eukaryota; Oomycota; Peronosporomycetes; Pythiales; Pythiaceae. The record is from RNAcentral.
CGGCGAGUGAAGCGGGAUGAGCUCAAGCUUAAAAUCUCCACAGGAGUUUCCUGUGGCGAAUUGUAGUCUAUAGAGGCGCUGUCAGUGCGUCUGCUCGGGAUAAGUCUCUUGGAAAAGAGCAGCAUGGAGGGUGAUACUCCCGUUCUUGCCUGAGUAGAUUGCGCGUACGACACGUUUUCUUUGAGUCGCGUUGUUUGGGAAUGCAGCGCAAAGUGGGUGGUAAAUUCCAUCUAAAGCUAAAUAUUGGUGCGAGACCGAUAGCGAACAAGUACCGUGAGGGAAAGAUGAAAAGAACUUUGAAAAGAGAGUUAAAGAGUACCUGAAACUGCUGAAAGGGAACCGAAUCGUUUCCAGUGUCUAUAAUCCGUAGCAUAUUUCAUUGGCGAGUGGAUGCGUGCAGUGUUAAUGGCAGUGGCUUGCUGCGCCUUGCAUUGUUCUGCGUUUACUUGCUGGUGCCCUGUGUUGCGGUGAGACGUCAGAGUCAGUUCGUAUGCUGCGGGAAAUGGUCGUCGAGGAGGUAGGUGUUUUGCACUGUUAUAUCUCGGCUGACUAGUCGUCGUGGUUGGGACUGAGGUGCCUACAAUGUGCUUUAACGUCUUGCGGGCGCUCAUUUGAUCAACUGCUCUGAUAGCUUGCUAUGUUUGUGGUUUGGUCGGGUGAUUGUGUUUGUAAGUAACGUUUGCCGUUCGGGACUUUGACGAAA